RNAcentral lists this unclassified non-coding RNA (326 nucleotides) under uncultured fungus. RNAcentral describes it as "partial contains small subunit ribosomal RNA, internal transcribed spacer 1, and 5.8S ribosomal RNA". The stretch from base 1 to 120 matches the Rfam family "Eukaryotic small subunit ribosomal RNA", at positions 1759 to 1831 of the family's 1831-position model. The record is from RNAcentral. Lineage: Eukaryota; Fungi.
ACAAACUUGGUCAUUUAGAGGAAGUAAAAGUCGUAACAAGGUUUCCGUAGGGUGAGUGCCUGCUUUUACUGCGUUUGUCCCAUACUGACUUUGCCUAGUGAACCUGCGGAAGGAUCAUUACCGAGCAAUCCUGCUUGCAGGAACUCCACCCUUGGUUACAUGGCGUUGCUUCGGCGAGACGUUGGAAAGCAGCCAUUGGCAGGAAUGCCGAUGCGCGCUCGCCGGAGUCCCAAACUCUUGAACUAUGUGUGGUCAGAGAAAUCAAGCAAUAUAUAAAAACUUUCAACAACGGAUCUCUUGGCUCAGGCAUCGAUGAAGAACGCAGC